ACUCUGCCGGUUUUGCUGCGGAAGUCACCUCGUGGCGUAGGGGAGAGGUAACACCGAGAAGAGGCAGCGGCGGUGGCGCCAAGACGAUUGGUGCCAAACAGGGCAGAACGCAACUCAGCUCUGGGUUUGUGAAUAGCACAAUGGAAGAAGCUGGACUUUGUGGGUUAAGAGAGAAAGCAGAUAUGUUGUGUAACUCUGAAUCACAUGAUAUUCUUCAACAUCAAGACUCAAAUUGCAGUGCCACAAGUAAUAAACAUUUAUUGGAAGAUGAAGAAGGCCGUGACUUUAUAACAAAGAACAGGAGUUGGGUGAGCCCAGUGCACUGCACACAAGAGUCAAGAAGGGAGCUUCCUGAGCAAGAAGUAGCCCCUCCGUCUGGUCAGCAAGCUUUACAAUGCAACAGGAACAAAGAAAAAGUCUUAGGAAAAGAAGUUUUAUUAUUGAUGCAAGCCCUAAACACUCUUUCGACUCCAGAGGAGAAGCUGGCAGCUCUCUGUAAGAAAUAUGCUGAUCUUCUGGAGGAAAGCAGGAAUGUUCAGAGGCAAAUGAAGAUUCUGCAGAAUAAGCAAGCUCAGAUUGUCAAAGAGAAAGUUCACUUGCAGAGUGAAUACAGCAAGACCAUCUUGGCAAGAAGCAAGCUAGAAUCUCUUUGCAGGGAACUUCAGCAAAAUUAAUGUCAAAAUAAGACAUUAAAGGAGGAACAUAUGCAGCAGAAAAAAGAGGAGGAAGAAGUUCUUAAAGAAGUAACUGCACAUUUCCAAAUUACUUUAACUGAAACUCAAGCCCAGCUGGAACAGCAUGAAAUACACAAUGCCAAACUGCAGCAGGAGAACAUGGAAAUGGGAGAAAAGCUAAAGAAGCUCACUGACCAGUAUGCACUGAGGGAAGAGCAAAUUAAUAAAGCGUUCAAACAUAAGGAAUUACGACAACAGCUUGUAGAUGCCAGACUUCAACAAACAGCACAGCUGAUAAAAGAAGCUGAUGAAAGACAUCAGAGAGAGAGAGAGUUUUUAUUAAAAGAAGCAACAGAAUCGAGGCACAAAUAUGAAGAAAUGAAACAAGAAGAAGCACAACUGAAAGAGCAGCUUUUCCUUUAUAUGGAUAAGUUUGAAGAAUUCCAGACUACCAUGGCAAAAACCAAUGAACUUUUUACAGCCUUCAAGCAGGAAACGGAAAAGCUGACAAAGAAAAUUAAAAAACUGGAAAAAGAAAUGGUAAUAUGGUAUACCAAAUGGGAAAAUAAUAAUACAACACUUCUGCAAAUGGCUGAAGAGAAAACUAUUCGUGAUAAAAAUUAUAAGGUCUUUCAAAUAAAAUUGGAGCGGUUAGAGAAGCUGUACAAGGCUCUUCAAAUAGAAAGGAAUGAACUCAGUGAGAAACUGGGAAUUCUGAAAGGGCAGGUCUCUGUGAAAGUAGCAGAUGUAGAUUUAGCAGUGCCUGUGACGCAUUCCUGUGCUGACCUGGAUUCUUCCAAUAUGCUGAACACUUCCUCUAAAAGAGCCCCAGGAGUCCAUCUGGAGGCUGACCCCAAAGGAAUGAAUGAAGUAAAAUGCUACUCAAAAGCCCUCUCCACAGGAUCUCCUCUAGGCAUUGAUUAAGAUUAAGUGUGAUCAUUGUACUGAUGGAUAUAUUUUGUGUACAUGUUUCUCUUUUAGUUGUAACUAUUGAUUUUGUAAUGAAAAUUUCCUCUCCUUUUUCUACCAUAUCUCUGUUUUUUUAGAACUACUCAACUGUGUGGUAACAGAAAGCUUCUUACCAAUUUCCCCAACUAUGUUGCACAUCAGCCUCAUUUUCCCCCUUUAUUGGAAUGCAUGUUUUCAUUGCCUUCUCCUUUCAAAGUGUACGUUUGUGUGUUCAUCACCUUAAAUUAUCUUAAUUUGAGACUUUUUUAUAAUGGUUUCGUAAUGUGAAAUCAAAUACUAAUUUAAACUCUGGAGCCCAUAAUAUCUACAUAAAAGAAAAUAUAAACUGACUAAUAUUGUCAAGUCAUUUAAAUGAUAAGUAAAACUUCAAUGGAUUAAGAAACAAGCAUGGCAUAUUUGAUUCAGAUCAGUUUUUUGACAAUAUUUGUAUGACUUUCCAAAUUGAUGUGACUGUAAACUUUGAAUUCCUCAAAAUUGACAGAAUAUAUAUAUAUAUAUAUAUAUAUAUAUAUAUAUAUAUGUAUGUACACACACACAGAGAGAUCAUUUAAAUGUAAAUGAUGUUAAGAAAAACCAAAACAGUAGCAUAUGCAGGCAAGUCAUUGGACCAAUAGGCUUAAUAUUUAUGAAACUGACAAUUGUUCUGCUUUAGUUUCAGGUUACAAUUAUGUUUAAAGAAAAAAAAAUCAGUAUCUAGAUCUCUGCACUUGGCAUGGAAAAUUUUGAACUAUUUAUUCCUUAAUUUUCUUUUAUUUCAGUUUCUCAUAGAGCUAAAUGGUUUUACAUAUAUUCUCUUGUCAGAUUUGUGGUCUAAUAGAGGUAGAAAAUGGAAAUUUUCCCAGUACUUAGAAAUAUGGUACUUAGGAAGAAGUCUAGGAUGUGAAUUACAUAUACACUUCCCCUAGUGACUAUGAUAAUCAAGGGGGCAGAUAGCAGAGGAAAAUAAGUUAACAUGAAAUUUGACAAAUUUUAUUACUUUGCCAAAAUUAGCAAAACAAAAAUACUCACCUUCCCCUGCUCACCCCCCAACUUUUUAUAAAUAUUCAAUUCAGCUACAAAACAAAAUACUGGACCCACUUCUUUCAGAAGAGAUGAAGAUACCUUAUAUGCCCUAAAGUUAAUACCAGCAGUCAUAUUUUAUCAGAUGUAAAUCUGGAUGUAAGCUCUUAAUGUUAUACUAAGGCAGUUUCUUAGGCUGUGACACUUCUUUGUGGUACUUGUUUUGUGUGAAAGGUAAAUUUUGGGGAGAAAACAAUGUGAAAAACAGAACUUGUUCUGUUGUUUUUGGCAUACUGUUUAUGUUAGAUACACUGUGUUACAAUACAAUAUUACGAAGAUCUGCAUUGUAUUUUGGAAUUUGGUUUCCUUUCAGAAUUAUUGCUCUGGCUAGCAUUGGAAACAACAACAACAACAAAACCCAAAGGAACCCUUUGCAGAAGAUUCCCUUGUAAAUGGCCCUGUGGCAUGCCCAGUAUCUGCAAUGUUCUAGAAUAGAAGUUGGCAAACCUCUCUGUUUGCCAAGCCUGCAGAGUUGAACAUGUCCAUAAAUGUAUACAAUCUGACCCUGUUUUUUGGCCCUGUUUCUGGACACUGUAGCUGACCAAGAAAAUGUUUAAAUGUUGCGAUCAAUUAAAUUUUUUUGUUGUAUCAUUCUGGAGUUGUAAUAUGUAUAGUGGCAGGGGAUUCCAAGCUAUAGAAAAAACAUGAGUCUAGAAUGACAGAGUGUGUCAUCUUCAAAUGUGUAUUAAUAUAUUUCUUGAUGAUGAGACCAAUAUUUCUAAGUUAAUGGAACUAUUUUAUUACACCUGAUAAUCACAGUUCAAUUCUUGUCUGUUGCAGAAUUAUCUACCUCUUUCAAACUGUAAAUGAAAAUAACUGUGAAAAAAAGGAUGCAGUACUGAUAAAAACACUGCUUUGUUUUUAUCUCACCUCUUUUUUAAGGAUAUGAUUUUAUAAGAGGCAGUUCUCUUUUGCUUUUCAAGACUUCUGUAGAGUUUGUGUUUUUUGUUUUUGUUUUUGUUUUUGUUUUUGUUUUUUUACCUAAUGUGAAUCUUAUUUUAUCUACUCAACUUCGUUCAGGUUAACUAAAGAUAUAGAUAUAAUGGUUAAUAUAGUAGCCUCUGUGUAUUCUUUAUAAUGAAUGUCACCUCAACUGUGUAACAGUGAAGUUCAAAAAUAACUGUUGGAAAAAGUUACUAUUUUUAAGGUCUUAAAAAACAUAGUUAAUUGCACAAUUUAAAGAUGCGUUACCAUCUGGUUAGUUGGCAAAAAUAACUUCAUUCAGUCAGAUCUCUGUUAGCAUGGCCACUCCCAAACCCCCAUUCAAAAUAGGUGACCUACCCCUUUUAAAGUGGGUUACUUUAAGAUUUCUGUAGUUUAACUUCUGGCAAGGCUUUUAAGAAUCACAGUAUUCAAGAAAUUUUCUACUAUCAGUUAACCUUAGCCUAUCCAAAUUUACUGGGAACUGAAUAGAUAUAAAUAGCAGGUGAUACUUGUAUAAAGAAUUUCAGUGUCUUAUUAUUUAGUCAUGGGUGAGCAAAAGUUAAUAUAACAUUAUGUAAACAAUUAGAUAGCUUUUACUUUCUAGACCAGGGGUUCCCAACCCCCAACUGGUAGUGAUCAUGGCCUGUUAGGAACCAGGAUGCACAGCAGGAGGUGAGCAGCAAGUGGGCAAGUCAAGCUUCAUCUUUAUUACAGCCACUCCCCGUUGUGACAUUACUGCCUGAACUCCACCUCCUGUAAGAUCAACAGCAACAUUAGAUUCUCAUUGGAGCACUAACCCUGUUGUGCCCUAUGCAUGUGAGUGAUCUAUCUUGCAUGCUCCUUAUAAGAAUCUAAUGCCUGAUGAUCUGUCCCCCAAGAUGGGACUGUCUAGUUGCAGGAAAACAAGCUCACAGCUCCCACUGAUUCUAUAUUAUGGUGAGUUGUAUAAUUGUUUUAUUAUGUAUUACAAUGUAGUAAUAAUAGAAAUAAAGUGCAAAAUAAAUAUUAUGCAUUGAACCAUU
RNA transcript from Homo sapiens (human), 4648 nucleotides. It is a transcript of the gene named taxilin gamma Y-linked (pseudogene), with no coding region annotated. The record is from RefSeq and is marked validated. Lineage: Eukaryota; Metazoa; Chordata; Mammalia; Primates; Hominidae. The transcript has 10 exons.